This 520-nucleotide unclassified non-coding RNA is filed under the name uncultured Glomus. Its description in RNAcentral is "SSU rRNA". It matches the Rfam family "Eukaryotic small subunit ribosomal RNA", at positions 569 to 1091 of the family's 1831-position model. Lineage: Eukaryota; Fungi; Glomeromycota; Glomeromycetes; Glomerales; Glomeraceae. The record is from RNAcentral.
AGCAGCCGCGGUAAUUCCAGCUCCAAUAGCGUAUAUUAAAGUUGUUGCAGUUAAAAAGCUCGUAGUUGAAUUUCGGGGUUAGUAGGUUGGUCAUGCCUCUGGUAUGUACUGGUCUCACUGAUUCCUCCUUCCUGAUGAGCCGUAAUGCCAUUAAUUUGGUGUUGCGGGGAAUUUGGACUGUUACUUUGAAAAAUUAGAGUGUUUAAAGCAAGCUAACGCUUGAAUACAUUAGCAUGGAAUAAUGAAAUAGGACGUUCGGUCCUAUUUUGUUGGUUUCUAGGAUUGACGUAAUGAUUAAUAGGGAUAGUUGGGGGCAUUAGUAUUCAAUUGUCAGAGGUGAAAUUCUUGGAUUUAUUGAAGACUAACUACUGCGAAAGCAUUUGCCAAGGAUGUUUUCAUUAAUCAAGAACGAAAGUUAGGGGAUCGAAGACGAUCAGAUACCGUCGUAGUCUUAACCAUAAACUAUGCCGACUAGGGAUCGGAUGAUGUUAAUUUUUUAAUGACUCAUUCGGCGCCUUAA